Molecule: ribosomal RNA, 253 nt
Filed under: uncultured bacterium
Lineage: Bacteria
Description: partial 16S ribosomal RNA
Rfam family: Bacterial small subunit ribosomal RNA
Source: RNAcentral
UACGAAGGGUGCAAGCGUUAAUCGGAAUUACUGGGCGUAAAGCGCGCGUAGGUGGUUCAGUAAGUUGGAAGUGAAAUCCCCGGGCUCAACCUGGGAACUGCUUUCAAAACUGCUGAGCUAGAGUACGGUAGAGGGUGGUGGAAUUUCCUGUGUAGCGGUGAAAUGCGUAGAUAUAGGAAGGAACACCAGUGGCGAAGGCGACCACCUGUACUGAUACUGACACUGAGGUGCGAAAGCGUGGGGAGCAAACAGG